This is an RNA transcript of Oncorhynchus tshawytscha (Chinook salmon), 2835 nucleotides long. It is a transcript of the gene named ciliary-associated calcium-binding coiled-coil protein 1, with no coding region annotated. NCBI's taxonomy places the organism in Eukaryota, Metazoa, Chordata, Actinopteri, Salmoniformes, Salmonidae. The record is from RefSeq and is a predicted model, not a curated record. The transcript is spliced from 7 exons.
UUCGGCGCAUGUGACUUAUAAAAUUAGAUUUGAUGGGGCAGUGUGAUGGCGAUUGCAUUGUCCGUAAUGCACGAACACGUCUCAUAAAAGUCAUGAUGUUUUUGUUUGGUUAGAAAGCACAAUCGUCGCGGAACGAACGAGUGACACCUUUCCGGGAAUGUCCGGUCCAUUUAAAAAUCAUUCCUGCCUCCUUCGCCCUGCAAGUGUAUACUCGUCAGACGUCAUGAAACGUUAUCAGAAGCGUCCACUUAAUUUGAGGGCUGAGCGGACAGGGGGUGUCGUUUAAGUGUUUGGAAAGCAACCCUAAAGCAAAUACAUUUGUACGAAGCUGAAUCAGGAAAUGAAUGUCCACUCUUCAUUGCAGAUCCCGCCUUCAUUCUUGUUUGAUAAUUUUUCUCGAAAUCUAAAAGCACAAUAUAGAUUUAAGCUAGUGUCUUAAGUAGCUGAACAUGUUAUUACUCCAACCAAGUGAAAGAGAGAAAUUACACGUUUUCAUUUUCAUCAAAAACAAAUGCAUUUGAGUUGACGGCUUGCGCAGUUCGGUGCGAGACAACCGUUAACCCGAAGACAUGUCUCUACCCAUGAGUUCAGCCAGACACCGUGUCAACUGGUUUUCUAUUGGAGAAGCAGCUUCUGCCUGUCUUGAUACUGUCCUUUCAUUGCCUUUGUUUUAUAGAGGAGACGGUAUGCUAUUCGGCCAAAAUGAGAAGUACCAGUACGGCGCUCCGGGCAGCACUGGUUACAGGUUGACUAGACAGAUCUAACAGUGUUGCCGACUCCUCAGUAUGGAAAGUAGCUAUUGGCGGUUCGUUUUUUAAUUUAUUUUUAUUUGUCGCUAGAGGGGUCUGAAUACUCGCUAAGUUGACAACACUGCGAUUCUAGAAUCAGCUUUAUCCAUCUCGAUAGACUAGACUGCCCAGAAGCUCACCGCCCGGAAGCUCAUCACCCGGACCGGAAGCUCACCGCCCGGAAGCUCAUCACCCGGACCGGAAGCUCACCGCCCGUCCACUGUGGACAUGUUGCCGUGGUAACGCCGGUGACUAAAACAUGUCUGCAAAAGUGAAACAAAGCAACAAGUCAGCGGAUAAAAAUACAAACGAUAGAAAUGACGUUGCGUCCAAAGAAAAUGAUGCUGAAAAAGCCAACCCUCAAUGGAAACUUAUUUCCCAUGAACAAAUCAACACGCUGUUGGAUUUGACAGUGGAACAAGUGCAAUUCCAGUUUGAAGAAAUACUUGGUUUGAAGAACUACCAGACGUGUCUGAAGGAGGCUUCCCUGUUGGACUACUUUGUCUCUGGCUUCUGGUGGACCAGGGAGAUGAACUACACCUGUCAACAGAUCUCAUUCAUCAUGGCUCUACUGCAAUUGUUACUGGACAAUAUCAGUGAGAAGCAGAUGCCGUUUGUUGAUAACCUGAAUGAGUUUGCCAAGAUGAUAUCAGGAACGCGCCAGUCUCCUUCUCCAGAGGUUGACUCACUGUUUGAUGCUGAGCAGGCCAUGUCCAUCACUGACUACCUGAAGUGCAGUCUCUUUCAGAACUACCAACUCUAUGAGUUUCUCUUCAGCCAACCUAGAGAGGAGCUGCUCCUUGGGAAGAAGAGGACCAUAGAGGUGAUCAGCUCAGCAGACUUUGUAGCCCCGUUGGAAGAAGGCAUGAAUACUGAUGACUACCUCCAUUACAUGACUCCUGUUGAACAGCAGGAAGAGGUACUGUACUGUACUGUAGGACUACCUCAUUACAUGACUCCUGUUGAACAGCAGGAAGAGGUACUGUGGGACUACUGAUGACAACCUCAUUACUCCUGUUGAACAGCAGGAAGAGGUACUAUACUGUAUUGUAGGACUACUGAAGACUACCUCAUUACAUGACUCCUGUUGAACAGCAGGAAGAGGUACUAUACUGUAUUGUAGGACUACUGAAGACUACCUCAUUACAUGACUCCUGUUGAACAGCAGAAAGAGGUACUGUACUGUAGGACUACUGAUGACUACCUCAUUACAUGACUCCUGUUGAACAGCAGGAAGAGGUACUGUACUGUAGGACUACUGAUGACUACCUCAUUACAUGACUCCUGUUGAACAGCAGGAAGAGGUACUGUACUGUAGGACUACUGAUGACUACCUCCAUUACAUGCCUCCUGUUGAACAGCAGGAAGAGGUACUGUGGGACUACUGAUGACAACCUCAUUACUCCUGUUGAACAGCAGGAAGAGGUACUAUACUGUAUUGUAGGACUACUGAAGACUACCUCAUUACAUGACUCCUGUUGAACAGCAGGAAGAGGUACUGUGGGACUACUGAAGACUACCUCAUUACUCCUUUUGAACAGCAGGAAGAGGUACUAUACUGUAGGACUACUGAUGACAACCUCAUUACUCCUGUUGAACAGCAGGAAGAGGUACUGUACUGUAGGACUACUGAUGACUACCUCAUUACAUGACUCCUGUUGAACAGCAGGAAGAGGUACUGUACUGUAGGACUACUGAUGACUACCUCCAUUACAUGCCUCCUGUUGAACAGCAGGAAGAGGUACUGUGGGACUACUGAUGACAACCUCAUUACUCCUGUUGAACAGCAGGAAGAGGUACUAUACUGUAUUGUAGGACUACUGAAGACUACCUCAUUACAUGACUCCUGUUGAACAGCAGGAAGAGGUACUGUACUGUAGGACUACUGAUGACAACCUCAUUACUCCUGUUGAACAGCAGGAAGAGGUACUAUAAUUGACUUUACCAUGGGCUCUGCUUAGGUUACUGCUCACAGCUGAUGUUUUUAUAUUUUCUUGUACUAUCUGGAUUUAAAAGACAAGUAGAUUAAUAAAUAGUACAUAUUGUA